Molecule: ribosomal RNA, 546 nt
Filed under: Wolbachia endosymbiont of Bemisia tabaci
Lineage: Bacteria; Pseudomonadati; Pseudomonadota; Alphaproteobacteria; Rickettsiales; Anaplasmataceae
Description: bacterial SSU rRNA
Rfam family: Bacterial small subunit ribosomal RNA
Source: RNAcentral
AGUUGGUGGAGUAAUAGCCUACCAAGGCAAUGAUCUAUAGCUGAUCUGAGAGGAUGAUCAGCCACACUGGAACUGAGAUACGGUCCAGACUCCUACGGGAGGCAGCAGUGGGGAAUAUUGGACAAUGGGCGAAAGCCUGAUCCAGCCAUGCCGCAUGAGUGAAGAAGGCCUUUGGGUUGUAAAGCUCUUUUAGUGAGGAAGAUAAUGACGGUACUCACAGAAGAAGUCCUGGCUAACUCCGUGCCAGCAGCCGCGGUAAUACGGAGAGGGCUAGCGUUAUUCGGAAUUAUUGGGCGUAAAGGGCGCGUAGGCUGAUUAAUAAGUUAAAAGUGAAAUCCCGAGGCUUAACCUUGGAAUUGCUUUUAAAACUAUUAAUCUAGAGAUUGAAAGAGGAUAGAGGAAUUCCUGAUGUAGAGGUAAAAUUCGUAAAUAUUAGGAGGAACACCAGUGGCGAAGGCGUCUAUCUGGUUCAAAUCUGACGCUGAAGCGCGAAGGCGUGGGGAGCAAACAGGAUUAGAUACCCUGGUAGUCCACGCUGUAAACGAU